RNAcentral lists this ribosomal RNA (453 nucleotides) under uncultured bacterium. Its description in RNAcentral is "partial 16S ribosomal RNA". It matches the Rfam family "Bacterial small subunit ribosomal RNA", at positions 29 to 507 of the family's 1533-position model. The record is from RNAcentral.
AUGAACGCUGCCAGCAUGCUUCACACCUUCCAGUCACCUUGAACUUCGGUUUGGGUGGCGGACGGGUGAGUAACGCGUAAAGAACUUGCCUCACAGCUAGGGACAACAUUUGGAAACGAAUGCUAAUACCUGAUAUUAUGAUUAUAUGGCAUCGUAUAAUUAUGAAAGCUAUAUGCGCUGUGAGAGAGCUUUGCGUCCCAUUAGCUAGUUGGAGAGGUAACAGCUCACCAAGUCGAUGAUGGGUAGCCGGCCUGAGAGGGUGAUCGGCCACAAGGGGACUGAGACACGGCCCUUACUCCUACGGGAGGCAGCAGUGGGGAAUAUUGGACAAUGGACCGAGAGUCUGAUCCAGCAAUUCUGUGUGCACGAUGAAGUUUUUCGGAAUGUAAAGUGCUUUCAGUUGGGAAGAAAAAAAUGACGGUACCAACAGAAGAAGUGACGGCUAAAUACGUG